GACGAACGCUGGCGGCGUGCUCAACACAUGCAAGUCGAACGGUGAAGCGCCUUCCUUUUUGGUGGGUGUGGAUGAGUGGCGAACGGGUGGGUAACACGUGAGUAACCUGCCCCCUUCUUCUGGAUAACCGCAUGAAAGUGUGGCUAAUACGGGAUAUUCUGGGUCUGUCGCAUGAUGGGUCUGGGAAAGAUAUUGUUUCGGUGGGGGAUGGGCUCGCGGCCUAUCAGCUUGUUGGUGGGGUGAUGGCCUACCAAGGCGGUGACGGGUAGCCGGCCUGAGAGGGUGGACGGUCACACUGGGACUGAGAGACGGCCAAGACUCCGACGGGAGGCAGCAGUGGGGAAUAUUGCACAAUGGGAGCAAGGCUGAUGCAGCGACGCCGCGUGAGGGAUGGAGGCCUUCGGGUUGUGAACCUCUUUCGCCAGUGAAGCAGGGCUGACUCGUUUGUGGGUGGGUUGACGGUAGCUGGAGAAGAAGCGCCGGCUAACUACGUG
RNAcentral lists this ribosomal RNA (494 nucleotides) under uncultured bacterium. RNAcentral describes it as "partial 16S ribosomal RNA". It matches the Rfam family "Bacterial small subunit ribosomal RNA", at positions 28 to 507 of the family's 1533-position model. The record is from RNAcentral.